Molecule: transfer RNA, 55 nt
Filed under: Linyphia triangularis
Lineage: Eukaryota; Metazoa; Arthropoda; Arachnida; Araneae; Linyphiidae
Description: tRNA-Ser
Source: RNAcentral
GACUUGAGUAUGAUUGUUUUGAAAACAAUUUUUAAAGAAAAUUCUUUUUAAGUCU